RNAcentral lists this ribosomal RNA (253 nucleotides) under uncultured bacterium. RNAcentral describes it as "partial 16S ribosomal RNA". It matches the Rfam family "Bacterial small subunit ribosomal RNA", at positions 524 to 776 of the family's 1533-position model. The record is from RNAcentral.
UACGUAGGGUGCAAGCGUUGUCCGGAAUUAUUGGGCGUAAAGAGCGUGUAGGCGGCCCGAUAAGUCCGCUGUGAAAGUCCAGGGCUCAACCCUGGGAUGCCGGUGGAUACUGUCGGGCUCGAGUCCGGAAGAGGAGUGUGGAAUUCCUGGUGUAGCGGUGAAAUGCGCAGAUAUCAGGAGGAACACCAAUGGCGAAGGCAGCACUCUGGGACGUGACUGACGCUGAGACGCGAAAGCGUGGGGAGCAAACAGG